Molecule: non-coding RNA, 106 nt
Organism: Acanthosepion pharaonis
Lineage: Eukaryota; Metazoa; Mollusca; Cephalopoda; Sepiida; Sepiidae
Source: the annotation of a GenBank genome assembly
CCAUAGCCUUGAAAGCACCUGUUCCUCUACGAUCACCAAAAUUAAGCAACGUCGAGCCUGGUCAAUAUGUAGAUGGGUGACCGAUUGGGAUUAACAGGUGCUGCAA